RNAcentral lists this long non-coding RNA (1036 nucleotides) under Equus asinus (donkey). Its description in RNAcentral is "lncRNA (ENSEASG00005029738.1)". The record is from RNAcentral. Lineage: Eukaryota; Metazoa; Chordata; Mammalia; Perissodactyla; Equidae.
GUAAGUAAGACCCAAUCUUAAACGGAAGAGGGGGAUGGUCUAGCGGGGGCGCGUUAAUGGGUACCUCGGCCAGUCCCAGACACAUCCGGGUCUUCAGCAGCCCAUUAAGUGUCGGGGGUCAAAAAAUCGCUUCGGGCUGCAACUUUACCUUAGAGACGUUUUGGUCCCCAGGCAGCCGCCGUACCCCAGUAUCCCCAAACCGGGAUUCCCCCUUGGCCCGCUCUCAUUCUUCUAAUUCUAAAGAUGGAGACUGGCGAGCUGCGUUGGGCUCUGCGUUGGGUGGUGUUUCAUCGCGACAGAAUCCAAGAAUUUCCCGAUAGAAGUCGCUUUAGGCUCUUGGGCCUUGCUGUCUCUUUGGGGCGUGGUCUGUCUCCGUCUGCCAAAGGCCUUGAGCUUCCUGGUCUCCAUCGAACCUCAGCGCGGUCCUGUCGUGACCAAACCACGACAGCAGAGAAAAAGGCAGCGAGCCACAUUGCUGAGCAGUUACGGGCCCUUCUUCAAGGGCUGCAAGGAGACACGAGAAACACGGUGGUGGAAGACACCAAGCUGAGGAAGACACUAGUGAGGCCUGAGAAAAUGCCUUUCAGUGAAAUGAAACCAGGCUGUGGAGGGGGACUUUCAAUCUGGAGCGAUCAAGCUCCACAGAAGAUGAGGAAAAACUGAGGCACAGCAGUUAAGCAACUUGUUUGAUGUAAUAAAAUUAGUAAGUGGCAGAGACAACAUUUAAUUAAAAUUUGUCAUACUCGAGCCUAUACACUCUAAAGUCUGGGAAGAGAAAUUGGGCCAGGUAGUUUGGGCAUAUCCUUCCCCUUAUACAGCGACCUGGGCUGCAGGACAGAGAGAUGUCAGAUGCCAUGGUGAGUACUUUGCCUUUGGAAUUCCCAGAUGUUCUUGUGGUUAAAGAAUUCUGUAGUUCUACUCAUCUGACCGUAGGCCUCUAGAAGGAAGCCCCAAAAUAGAAGCAUAAACUGGCAGGCAGAAUCCAUUAUCAUUAUUGUGAACCAAGGGGCACUCUAGACCAAGAAGUUGUAUUAAG